Molecule: long non-coding RNA, 2089 nt
Organism: Nyctereutes procyonoides (raccoon dog)
Lineage: Eukaryota; Metazoa; Chordata; Mammalia; Carnivora; Canidae
Exons: 3
Source: RefSeq, a predicted model, not a curated record
GAAUUUGGAUGGAGCCCAAUGGGGAUGGCUUGUCUCUGUUUCCUGAUGUCGGGGGCUGAAGCUGGAAUACUCAAAACCCGCGGACCAGGGUCAUCUGCAGGAUUUUUUGCUCACGCAUCUGACCGUGGAUGCUGUCUAUUGGCUGGGGGCCUCAGUUUCACUCCCGAUGAUCUAGAUGGAUUUUUCCUGCGUGGUGCCUGGGUUACUGAAAGAAAGAAGCAGGCAUGAACUGUAUUUUUUUUUUACGACCUCAUCUUUUUAUGAUCUACAUUGCUCGCCCUGUACCCAUUGGUCAAUGUAGCCAUAGCCCCACCCUGAUUCUGUAAAUGACCCCACCCUGGAAUCUGUAAAACUCCAGAAGAGCAUGAAGGGGAGGCACUCAUCUUUGGAAAAUGCAAUCUGCUAUACUCUGUUAGAGCUCUCCAUUUGCUUCUUCUGAGUGGCCCCUUUAUUCAACAACCAUCAAAAAUAACAGCAAUGGAAAGAACUACCUGAGGCUUAGAGGGGAGAGCAAAGUCCCUCAUGCUGCAUUCAACUUCCUGGCUGGAAGACCAGGAUAAAGUUGCUUUUCAUCCCUCUGCUAGCAAGAGCAAGGCAGCACCCAUGUCAGGAGUGUGAGAGACAGCUAGAGAAAGCGCAUGAGCAGGAGGAGAAGCAGAGGGAGGAGAAGGAGAAGACUCCACUCCCUGCUGAGCACAGAGCUUGAGGCAGGGCUUGAGCACAGAACCCUGGGAUCAAUCCCUAGGUGAAGGCAGAUGCUUAAUGGACUAAGCCACCCAGGCACCCCUUAAAAGAUUUUAUUUAUUUUAGAGAGAGAGAGAAAGAGAGAGAGCAUGAACGAGCAGGGGGAGGAGCAGAGGGAGAGGGAGAGAGAAACUGAGGCAGACUCUGGACUCAGCACAGAGCCCCACAUGGGGCUCAAUUCUGGAAAACCAAGAUCAUAACCUGAGGCUUAACUGACUAAGAUAUGAAAUGCACCCAGGCGCCCCACUUCUAUGAAUCUAAAUUCAUGUAAAAAUUCAUGUCAUCACCACCACAAUCAAGAUAUAGAACAGGGACAGGCCAGAUGGCUCAGCGAUUUAGUGCCGCCUUCAGUCCAGGGCCUGAUCCUGGGGACCUAGGAUCGAGUCCCACAUCGGGCUCCCUGCAUGGAGCCUGCUUCUCCCUCUGCCUGUGUCUCUGCCUCUGUGUGUGUGUGUGUGUGUCUCAUGAAUAAAUAAAUAAAAUCUUUAAAAAAAAAAAAGAUAUAGAACAGCUCUACUGCCCCCCCAAAAAUCCAUUAUGCUAUUCCUUUGUAGUCACAUCCUCCCUCCCAUCCCCCACAAACCUCUUGUUAGUUUGAGCUAUUCUCCAUGACUAUUGUUUUGUCUUUCCAAAAAUGUCAUAUAAACGGAACAAUACAGCAUGUGACCCUUUUAAAAAGAUUUUGCUUGUUUAUUUAUUUAAGAUUUUAUUUGAGAGUGAGAGAGAGCAGGAGCUGAGGGGCUGAGGGGCAGAGGGAGAGGGAGAAAUAGACUCCCCACUGAGCAGGGAGCCCAUCUCAGGACUCUGGGAUAAUGACCUGAGCUGAAGUAAGAUGCUUAACUGACUGAGCCAUCUAGGCAUCCCUAAAAAUUUUAUUUUUUUAAAGAUUUAUUUAUUUAUUUGUGAUAGACACAGAGAGAAACAGAGAGAGGCAGAGACACAGGCAGAGGGAGAAGCAAGCUCCAUGCAGGGAGCCUGACGUGGGAUUUGAUCCCGGGUCUCCAGGAUCGCGCCCUGGGCCAAAGGCAGGUGCCAAACCGCUGUGCCACCCAGGGAUCCCCCUUAAAGAUUUUAUUUUUAAGUAAUCUGUAUACCCAUCAUGGGGCUCAACCCCACAACCUUGAGGUCAAGAAUCACAUGCCCCACCAACUGAGCCAGCCAGAUGCCCCAGCAUGAGAUCAGAUUUGUUCAGCAUAAUGCCUUUGAGAGUCAUCCAAAUUUUGCAUGUAUCAACAAUUGUUUCUUUUUGUUUCUGCAUACUCUUCCACAGUAUGGAUAUGCCAAGUUAUGCAUUUACCCAUUUUAACCUGGUUUUGGGUAAUUACAAAUAAAGCUGCUAAGAACA